AUGAAAUUCGGCCGGACAAGGAAUAUGACUCUGGCUCGGAUGAUGGAAAUUGCCACCAAGUAUGCCAAUGGUGAAGAAGAAGAGCGGCUCCGGAGCGGCAAGAACAAAGCAGUCGCCCACGAAGCCGGAGGAGGAAACUCCGGUUGGAAACAGAAGCGCAAGGCCGAGCCAGCAGCGCCGGUUGAAGCCUUGGCUGUGGUUCAAGGAAAGUUCAAGGGGAAGCCCAAAGGGCCGUGGAACCCCAAGAAAGUAAAAGAUCAAGAUGGAAAUGACGUGUUGGAUCUGCCGUGCCAUAUCCACACCAAAAAAGAUGAAGAAGGUAAUUUUAUUUACCCGAAGCACACCACUCGGCAGUUUCGGCUCCUAAUCCAGCAGUUCCGAGAGAAACAGCCCAAGAAAAAAGAGAAGGAGACAGACAAGGCCGAGGAUGAGGAAGAGGAUGACGAUGGUUAUCCCCACGUGAAUUCCACUCUAAUGAUUUUUGCUGAUGUCAAGAGCAAAAGUCGAUUGAAAGUUAUCAAUAGGGAAGUGAACAUGGUCGCUCUGGCGACACCCAGUUACUUGAAGUGGUCACAGACUGCCAUUACAUUCGACCAGUCUGAUCAUCCAGCGCACAUCGCCACCCCUGGGAGGCAAGCACUGGUGGUCCACCCGGUUGUCGAAGGCACUCGACUGACAAAGGUCCUGAUGGACGGUGGCAGUGGUCUGAACAUACUGUAUGCAGAAACGUUGAAAGAAAUGGGCAUUCCGAUGUCCAGGCUCAGUGAAAGCCAUAUGAGUUUUCAUGGGGUCAUUUCAGGCAAGAAGGCCGCAUCCCUCGGUCAGAUUGCACUCGAUGUGGUUUUCGGUGAUUCCAAAAAUUACCGCAAAGAAAAGUUGAUGUUUGAAGUUGUGGAUUUCCAGAGUGCUUAUCAUGCAAUUCUACGCAGGCUAGCUUAUGCACGAUUUAUGGCUCGACCAUGUUACGUGUACCUCAAACUGAAGAUGCCAGGUCACAGAGGAGUGAUUACUAUCUCUGGUAAUCGGAAGAAGGCAGAAGAGUGCUUCCAGAAGGGCUCAAAGAUCGCCGAUGCCGAGAUGGCCGUAGUAGAAUUGCAAGAAUACCAGAAAAAUGCAGAUCCGAGUGACUUGCUGCGAGCCAAGAAGCCAGCCACAGAUUCAGUAUUCCAGUCGUCUGGUGAAACGAAGUCAAUUCAUAUUCACCCGACAGAUCCCAGUGCUGCUCCGACUCACAUUUCAACCUCACUCGACUUCAAAUAG
This 1260-nucleotide ribosomal RNA is filed under the name Triticum aestivum (bread wheat). RNAcentral's name for it is "partial small subunit ribosomal RNA". Lineage: Eukaryota; Viridiplantae; Streptophyta; Magnoliopsida; Poales; Poaceae. The record is from RNAcentral.